This 253-nucleotide ribosomal RNA is filed under the name uncultured bacterium. Its description in RNAcentral is "partial 16S ribosomal RNA". It matches the Rfam family "Bacterial small subunit ribosomal RNA", at positions 524 to 776 of the family's 1533-position model. The record is from RNAcentral.
UACGGGGGGGGCGAGCGUUGUUCGGAAUUACUGGGCGUAAAGCGCACGUAGGCGGCUUUGUAAGUUAGAGGUGAAAGCCCGGGGCUCAACUCCGGAAUUGCCUUUAAGACUGCAUCGCUAGAAUUGUGGAGAGGUAAGUGGAAUUCCGAGUGUAGAGGUGAAAUUCGUAGAUAUUCGGAAGAACACCAGUGGCGAAGGCGACUUACUGGACACAUAUUGACGCUGAGGUGCGAAAGCGUGGGGAGCAAACAGG